RNAcentral lists this long non-coding RNA (16440 nucleotides) under Triticum aestivum (bread wheat). Its description in RNAcentral is "long non-coding RNA (TAES_LNC005072)". Lineage: Eukaryota; Viridiplantae; Streptophyta; Magnoliopsida; Poales; Poaceae. The record is from RNAcentral.
UUUAACUUCUUCAACCUAGAGCUCCUGUAGAAGAAUGAAAAUGAUCGUUAUCAUGGCCGCCAAUUCAAAAUGAAAGCAAUACCUUCCAACAGAGAACAACUAGGAAAAGAAUAAUUAACAGAAUAAUAAAUAGAUACACAAGCAGCUAGGAGUCGAUCCUGAAGCAUGAGGGCAUGGAUAACAGUAGCAACCAUGAGGAGUAAAUAGUAGCAAAUAUUAUAUUGGUGGAAAAAGGUAAAUACCAGCAAGCUCUAAGAAGACUCCAAGAGCUUGAUGGCUCACAAUACAAUCAUGUUUUCGAUAACAAAUACUACUAGAAUUAAGGCACUAAACAUAUUCUAAGAAGUAUCAACAUCAUGGCAGUAAAAAUUAGUAGUAGCAGCUAGCAGGACAUCAAUCGAACACAACGUAAUUAUCAUUUGAACAAUCGAGACAACAAGUUACAGAACAAGCAUGUAUUGACAGGAUAGUUAUCAAUAGUAUAGAACAGAACUAAAUCAAACAGAACUAAAUAUGCAAACGACAAGUGUACAAAAGCUGUAUAUACUGAUACAUACUUGCUAACUGAUUUCUGUUUGGCCUUUAAAGCAUUAGUACGCUUGUUACUCUUUUUAGAGAGACAGGUAUGUAUAUGGUCCUUUUUGCGCCUGUGGUUGCAAGCAUAUGCAGAAGAAGCAACUGACGGACGACACUUAUAUGUGUACAUUCAAAAGUAAGUACAAAAUGGCUUUAGCUUCGAAACAAGAGAACCAGAUGCAUGCCCCGUGCAGUAUUUAAUUUCAAGCGAGUGGGUGCAAACACCAACCAUAACCAGGAAUAUUGGAGAACUACAAGUUAAAUGUACUCAAAGAAACCACCAAAAUCUCUCAAUACCGGUCACAACAAGUAAUCAGAAUACAGCAGCAACAAGUACCAGGAAUAAAUCACGUAAGUAACUAGAACAGAGAAAGAAAAUGUAGAAGUGGCACGAGUCAUGAAUGGUGUCUUGAGUUACUGCUGCAUCGUCCGUAACAGAGGCCGAGGAACUCGCUGUGAUGGGUUGCAGCAUCUAUGCUGAUGCAGUCUCAGCCACAGGCUCCUCCUCACACCUGAAGUGAAACACGCAGGUUGGUCAGCAGAACUACAACAGUUUAGCUUUUGGAGAUGACGAAUAACUCAAUUACCUUUGAUAUCUGUUUCAAAAAAAUUAACCUUCUAGUAUGGCCAUGUUAAUACAUAAAAUUAACCUUUUCCCUUUUACUUUCUAUGAAAAAUGUAAGAGACCAGAAUUCUACAUGUAGCUUCUGUAGACAUAAAUCCUAGAGAAAUACAACUCUGUACGAGAAUCACCCCAAAUAUGAACAGAACAAUUCGGUAUCGCCUAGACGAGGAAUUGAAAAUGCAUGAGCUGAUGCUAUUGUAUGAUACAGUUAUAUACUCCCAUAAAAGAAGUGUUGUUUAAGUACACUCUCUUCUCUUUAUUCCAUCUAUUAAGUAUAUACUCCCAUAAUAGAUAAAAGAAGUAUAUACUCCCAUAAAAGACUUCUAGCUGCCUUUCAGUGCCUAUGUACAGUGCUUUGCAGUCAGGUUUAGGACUAGCAUGAAAACAAAACUAUCUACUUGUUGUACUUGUUAUGUUAAACCAUCGAAAUCAAUCUGGUGUGACACAGGUGGGUUAUGCUAUCCACGACACGAGCACUGCAUUUGUUAAUAUCGACUGCAGUAACGAGGGACUGUUCAAUGCUACGAUUCAACCACGGAGUAAACUCAAAUGAGCGUGGAAGAAGAGCUCACCUCAUUGAAGGCGAGGAUCUGGCCGUAGCUCUUCUUCACGCAUUCUCGAGAGGCUUCCGAAUUUGAAUCAUGUCCUCACCAGAACUUGGACUUGGCGUGGAUCUCGCUGGUGGCCCAGAGCUUCAUGCGGUAGAUCCUAGGAUGCUCCUCGGUCGGCGUCGGUAGGCCCCUCCCGACAACCUCGUACUGGUGGAACUGCACGAGCGCGAGUGCCAAAUGGUCAGUUCAGAUCACACGACAAGAACUAAUCCCCAUGAUAAUGGUGCGUACGAGUAAGAGGGGCUCACCCUGACCGUGACCAUCCUGACCGGAGUUGCUGAGGUCGCCGUGCGUCGGUCUGGGGCGAUGGGAUUGCUGUUGUGCGAUGCUGCGACGGGCUUCUAUUCGCGGGAGCCGCACUAGCCCAGGGCCCCGCCGGUGAGCUCCGACGAGGGGAGGGGGAGGGAGGCGACCCCCAUCACCAUGGCUGCCAAAUCCCUCCCUCCGGAUCGAGGCUGUGUCCGCCAGAUCGAUGUGGCCAAGGCUGCCAAUCCGCCUCGCCUGCUCGAACUGGACCUCGAGGAGAGGAGGUGGUGGCCAUCAACGGUGGGGAUGGGGGGCAACGGCGGCGGCGGCGUCCAUCUCCGCCUGGAUCACGCGCAUGGGGGUAUGGGGAGGGGAGGGGAAUUGGCUCGCGAGAUUUGUUCGUGAGGGGGCAACUCGGACAGGAGGGGUGGUGGAAGGAAGGAUGGCCGGUGCUGGGGGUGACGAGGAGGUCGGCGGCGGCAGGGGUGGGGGAGGCCGACGGCGGGGUUGGGAUGGCAGAGAGAGGGAGGUCUGGGUCGGGGACAGGCGGAUCUAGGAGGAGGUGGCGGCGGUGAGGAGCUGAGGGAGGAGGAGUGUGGGUGCGGGUUAGGGUUUGGGCUGCGGAUGGAUGGCUGGAUGGAGAGGUGGAGAGUUGGACAGAUGGAUGGGCGCCAUGUCAUCGAUCCGUGUGACAACUAAACCCACCAAUGAGAAUAGAGCACAUAUAAUUGUGUUUUUCGUUUUGUUUUUCUUCUACUUUUACACAUGAAAAAAAUCAAAAAAAUGGUCUCACAUUAUGCACAAGUUUGUAUCUUGAAUGAAAAACAAUGUUGCCUAAGAAAUUUUUCAUUUUCGUUGCAUGAAAUAUUCAUUUUCCAUUUCUCGAGUGCUCAAAAUGAGUUUUUUUGUGAAGAACAUACCAAAUAUUUGUUGCAAAAUUGUACCAAAUCAUUUUUAUAAAAUACUAGACCAUAUUUAAUGUACAAAUAACCAAAUGGUUGGGUGUCAAAACUUUUAAUCCACCUCUCAUGAAAAAGACAAAUUUCCGCUGAUUCAGUUGGAAGCGGGUCAAAUUUGAACUACAGUUGCCUCAUAGUUUGCUAUUUAUUUUUUCCAAAAAUCAUUUCUAGGUACAUAAGUAUCUAUUUAAUUAGAGAAACAUCAAAAGUUUUCCAAGAUUCAACCACUAGCUAGGAACGGUCAAGCCCGCCGUUUUGACCGCAUUUUGAAACGGGCAUAAAAAAUUCAAAAAAUAUCAAAAAAUUGGAAAACCUUCGCAUUGUGUCAUUAUAUGUGACCAAGUUUCCAGGAAAAAUAAUAAACUUGUAAUACGGUAAUUAUUUUAAAAAAGUGUUCUCAGAAAUGAGCUAUCAUGUGUGAAGAUUCAUGGAUUUCAACCCAAACGCUCAAUCUCAUGGUCACAUUCAUGGCAUAGUUUGUUCAAAUGAUCUCAUAUUGUGCACAAGGGUGCAUCUUGGAAUUCCAAACAAUGUUGCCAAAGGGAGUUUUCAUUUUCUUUACACGGAAAAUUCAUUUUCCAUUUUUCGAGUGCCCGAAAUGAGGUUUUUUUGUGAAGGACCUACCAUAUAUUUGUUGCAAAAUUGUACCAAAUCAUUUUUAUAAAAUACUAGACCAUAUUUAAUGCACAAUUGACAAAAUGGUUGGGUGCCAAAAGUUUUGAUCCACCUCUGGUGAAAAAGACAAAUUCUCGCUGAUUCAAUAGGAAGCGGGUCAAAUUUGAACUGCAGCUGCCUCAUAGUUUGCUAUUUAUUUUUUCCAAAAUCAUUUCUAGGUACAUAAGUAUCUAUUUAAUCAGAGAAACAUCAAAAGUUUUCCAAGAUUCAACCACUAGCUAGGAACGGUCAAGCCCGCCGUUUUGACCACAUUUUGAAACGGGCAUAAAAAAUUCAAAAAAAAUCAAAAAAUUGGAAAACCUUCGCAUUGUGUCAUUAUAUGUGACCAAGUUUCCAGAAAAAAUAAUAAACUUAUAAUACGGUAAUUAUUUUAAAAAAGUGUUCUCAGAAAUGAGAUAUCAAGUGUGAAGAUUCAUGACUUUCAAGCCAAAUGAUCAAUCUUAUGGUCACAUUCAUGGCAUAGUUUGCUCAAAUGAUCUCAUAUUAUGCACAAGGGUGCAUAUUGGAAUGGCAAACAAUGUUGCCUAAGGAAGUUUUCAUUUUCUUUGGACGAAAAAACCAUUUUCCAUUUUCUGAGUGCCUGAAAUGAGUUUUUUUUGUGAAGGACCUACCAUAUAUUUGUUGCAAAAUUGUACCAAAUCAUUUUUAUAAAAUAUUAGGAAAUAUUUAAUGCACAAUUGACAAAAUGGUUGGGUGCCAAAAGUUUUGAUCCACCUCUGGUGAAAAAGACAAAUUCCCGCCGAUUCAGUUGGAAGCGGGUCAAAUUUGAACUGCAGCUGCCUCAUAGUUUGCUAUUUAUUUUUUCCAAAAAUCAUUUCUAGGUAAAUAAGUAUCUAUUUAAUCAGAAAUACAUGGUUUUAUGGCAAGACAUCGAGGUUUGGAUGGUGGCCGAGGGCCCCAACUCUAGAGCGCGUAAGCUCGCAUGCCCGCUGCGUGGUCACCGCGUGACCGUGGCGUUGCCAUGUGUUCUGGGUGGCCUAGGCAUGUCUAGUGGGUUGGGAACUCCCCAGGUAGGUGCUAGGAAGAAAAUCACAACAUAAGAUUCUCACGAGGAGACCGAUCGAUGCUCAAACAUGAAUAAACAACCAAGUGUUUGAUUUAUGGUACGGGAAAUGCACAUGGCUAAUGGGCGUGAGUUUUGGCUAAGGAUGAUAAGUUACUAAGAAUACCGUCUUCACAAAUUUUUACCUCAAAAGGAGGAACCUAGGUGGUACUUGCUUUACAAAGCACCACAUUUGACAUAAAUACAAAUGUUGAAGCUGGGCUCAAAAUAAUGAAUGGAUUGAGUUGGCAUUUGGUGGAGGAUGGUUAUUUGGGCAUAGGAAAGCACUGUAGAAAAUGGAUACCAUUUGGACAUGCCAAAGUGGUACUUCCUUCACAAACUGUUGUUCUGAACAGAAUAGGAAAAUGAAUAUUUUUUAAUUAUUUUUGAACUAGGAAACGAAGGUUUUUACAUAUUUGACGAAUAUAUGACCCAAAGAAUUUAUGAGAUUUUUUUUGGAAUUUUGGGAAUGACAGAAAUAUAGGUUGCUACACAACCUAGGGCAAAAACUACCACAUGGACAUGACACAUAGGCAAAAUUGAUGAGAUGGCGCCUAGUCAUCGCAACCCACCACAAUUUACAAGGCUAUGACCAUCUAUAUUGGUCGUUAACAACUAGAAAUAAGGUAGCGGACUAGCGCUAUUUGCUUUAUGACCAUUUCGUGUAAGGAAAUUAUGACCUUUCUGACCAAAAUGGUCGCAAUGGUUUAUGGUUUGCAGCCCCCCAGAUAGCUUUUGACCAAUUGGUCUAAAAUGGUCAUAAAUUUAUGACCAAUUCUUCGAGGGUCACUGACAGAAGGUCAUAAGUUGACAUAUUUCUUGUAGUGAAACUACUAAAUGCGGAAAAUAAAGUGAGCAAUGAAGAUUAGAGCGAAAAUAUUUACAAAUUGCCGCUCCUGAAAGAGGGACUGUGACUAUGCACUGGUCAUGGGAAAGCUCGUGCGCUGGCUCAGGCUUGGGUCGACCCGACGGAGCUAUGCGUAGGAGAUAGUAGGAGUGAUCAAAGCAUCCAGAACCGCCUCCCGACCGUGCUCCUUGGGCCCCGUGCCCACCACCACCCUCUCGUCCAGAUCCACCGCAAUGGGGUCAGGUGUGUCAGGAUGUAACCUCAGAUACCCUUCGGAGUAGGCCUUCUUCCUCUGCGCGGUCUUCUUGCCGUAGUACUUGGGCUUGCCAGGCUUGCAGUUCUUCCGCGUAUGGGCGAUCUCCCACGCCUCCAUGUGUGAGAGCGGCCGCUUCAGUUUCUCCGCCUGCACCACCAAACAGAGGUUAGUCAUACAUAAGAAAGUGACGGUAAAUAGAAGAAGAAGAAUGUUUAAUGAGGUUAGUCAUACAUUAAGUGUCUUGUGGAGAAAGUGGUUUUGGUUUCCCUGAGCAUGUACUCCCUCCUUCCCUCGGUUAGCCUUGUUUUUGAUGCUCGUAGCCGCCCCCAGGCUCCAUCCUUAUCACACCAAAGAUCCACCAAUGCCGCCCAGGAUUCAUCUUUUCCAUAACACCAAUUUGGACACACCUACAUAAUGAAAACAUAAUGGCAUGUCAACACGAAACGGUGAAAUGUACCACAAACAUCGGAGUGAACAAUCUUUUAUACUUACCGCCAAGUACUUGUGCCUCUCCAAGGUAAUGCCCAUCAUCCGCGCUACUUCCUUGGUCAUCUUCACACCAAGAGCGUCGUGAUAGUAUGUCGAGAUGGCCACAUAGCGCACCUCGUACUGCAUCUAGUGGGCCUUCUUCUUGCAUUGGCGCAGCAUGAUCUGGUCGGCUCUGGCCUUGUGCUCCGGAAGGACUCGAUAGAAUUUCUACAAUCAUGCAUGAAACAAGAAUGGAAGAAGCCGUGAGUUAAGUCAUUCAUGAAACUAGAAUGGACUUGUGCUUCUGAAGAGAACUCACCCAGAAAAUAGUGAUCACGACCGCUUUCGAGUGGUCCCAGCUCGUCGCCAAAACCCGACAGUCCGGGUGCCUGACUGGAUCCGGACAAUACAGCCCCGACCAGUGUAACUUCAGUAAGACGGUGAUGAGGCCGUUGGGAAUACGGGCCCCACUAGGAUAUAUCCAUUUGCUGCAAAAGAAUGAAAUAUUAGCAUGUGACAAGCAAGAUAAAUAACUACCGGAAUGAGCAUGUGACAAGCAAAAUAAUGAAAUUAUUAUAAAGUGGCACUUACUCUUUCCUCAUGGGCUCAAUGAGCCACUUCUGCUCCUCAGUAGGAGGAAUCUGCUUUGGUAGCUUUGCGUUACCACGCAGCCACCCCUUGUUGCCAACCCCUCCCCGCCACCACCCUCCUCCUCACCUGCCUCCUGCUCCUCCUCCUCGCCCCCUCCCCAACCUCCUCCUCCACCUCCUCCUCGGCCCCAUCCUGAACCUCCUCAUCCUCCUCCUCCUCCUCGUCAGAGGGUACCUCACUAGAGGAGGGCCUCAAAGACAACACCACUAAGUCGGUGAGGGUGCGCUCUUUCUGGCCGCGACCCCCUGUAGUGGCUCUUCCCCCACCAUCUCGCCCUCUAGGGGCUCUCCCCCCGCCCCCUUCUCCUCUAGGGGGACCUCUCCCUCGACCUCCCUAUGGGGAGUCAUCGUCAAGUAGCCAGGGGGGAGGAUUACGUGCUCGACGACUCCUACUAGGUAGGCCGAUGACCUUGCGUAGGAAACCCAUGCCGUCAACCUUCCCCUUGCCCAUGUUCCACGAACCUGCAUUGAAAAGAGAAUAAGCAAUUAGUACAUUAAUAAAAUGAAGGAAAGGGCAUAAUAAUAAGGAAUAAUAAACACAUUAGUAAAAAAGCAUAAAAAGGCAUAUUCCUAAACUAUAGAAAAAAAGACUUGAAACGUACAUCAACUAGAACUCAUACGAAUCAUCACUAUUGUAACCUCGUUGUCGGUCGGUCUCAUCAUCACUAUCAAUCAUAUCAUCUUCAUUGUUUGACGGAGGUGGAGGCUCUUCCUCGUCGUCAGCGUCUUUGUUUAACUUUUCUAGCAUAAGUAUGUCAUUUUCAUUGACAAUGGUCUCACCAUCAUUCCGUGCAUCGUCGUUGUUUGCAUCCACACCAUCAUCACCCAAUGGUCUAGCGUCAUCGUUUCUAACCACAUCAUCAUCAUCAAGUUGCUCUUGAUAGAACACUCCCUCGUAUGUCGUGGGGUUAAUGUUGUAGUAAUUGUCUUCAUUCGGGUCCGGUAGCUUACCAUCUGGCGACACCUUGAACACAACUUCCCAACCCUUUAGGACUCUUUCUGGCAUGGGUAAGGCAGAUAAUAAACUUGUGUAGCUUGGGUAGCCGCAAUGAAGAGAUCGGCUCCGGCAUAGACGAUUGAUGGUUUAACUUCGACCAAACCAAUGGAAGGCGUAUGUUUUACACCCUCUCGUGGAUCGAACCAUCGGCAUUUGAACACAGGCGGACUUAGGGUCUCGCGCCCCUUGCGGAAUUUAAUCUCAUAUAUAUUAUGUACCCCUCCGUAGUAUUCUACUGAAUUUUGACCAGGGAUGUACACUCCGGUAUUUAUAAUUUUGGGAUUAGGCCGGCUGUUCUGGUGCUCCUCUGUUUGGAAGCGAUACCCAUUCACAUCAUACUUUUUACAUGUCAUGACGGUAGGGUCAAAACCCAUGGAAACCCAUCUCAAUUCAUCAUCCAUAGAUAUGUUCGAAUGUUUUCCCUACAAGUAUAAUUGCAAUUGUUUGGUGCAUUAUUUCGGUUAACUAAUAAAUGUUGAACUAGGUAUUUAAUGACGGAAUGUGGAAAAUUACUUUCUCCAUGAACGAAGCAACAAAAAAUUUACGUCCAGGGUUUCCAUGAUGGAGAAGAGUAAGUGCCUCCCCUCAGCGGGAGGAUUCAUUCCCAUCCAUUCCUCUUGAACGAAAUCACUAAAGGAAGAACAGCGGUGUUAGACCGGGACUAAGUGCACAUAGAACAUGAUGUUGUGGAAGACAUAAAGGAAUGAUGUAGUGGUAUUACCUCAUCCACACUUCCUCAACUUCCUUGAUGUUGUGCAAGAUAUAGAACAUGAGGUCCUCCCACUCCUGUCGUGGCAUGUUAUAAGAUUUCGAGGCCCCAGCCCUCUCACCUUGCACAUUGAAUAGAUGGAGCCUGGGUUGAUACUUGGGCUCUUCUCUAUUGUAUCGAGGCACCCUUUUAUGCAGAUGGGGAACGUGGUAUGGAUAGUAUGAUGUCCUAAGGUCUAACACCUCCUCUAGGAUAACUGCCUCAUCUAUGGAAGCUUCCAUCUUUGCUUUGUUUCCACAUUUCUGUCGGAGAUGCUUGUUCUGUCUCUCAGGGCCGUACUGCCAGCGAUUCUGCACAGCCACCCCCCCAAACAUUAUCUCGUUCGCGAGGUGCAGAAAUGAGAUGUGUCAUCGGAGUAAAGAAGCCUGGCGAAAAGAUCUUCUCUAGCUUGACUAUCAACUCCGGUCCCUUCUUAUGCAAUUUUUCAAUCACGUCUUUACUUACUUCUUUAGCACAGAGCGUGCGGAAGAAAUGUCUUAGCUCGGCAAGCACUUGCCAGACAUGCUCGGGGACAUGGCCUUGAACCAUCACCGGCAUUAUCCGCUCAAUCCAUACAUGGUAGUCAUGACUCUUCAGGAUGGUCACUUUCCCCAUUGAAAGGUUGACUCCCUUACUUAUAUUCGAUGCAUAACCAUCGGUGAACUUCAAAAUGUGUUUCAGUCCGAUAAGUACUUCCUUUUUUCUGGCGAUUUAAGGACAAAGUCAGCAUCUGGCUUGAACCAAUUUUUUCGACUGCCUAUGGGAGGCUUCAUGUUUAGACGUGGUCUAUCACAAAUUCUCUGUUGAUCGGCUCUAGCUUUAACGUUAUCUGAUGACGCACAAGUAUAGGGGAUCUAUCGUAGUCCUUUCGAUAAGUAAGAGUGUCGAACCCAAUGAGGAGCAGAAGGAAAUGAUAAACGGUUUUCAGCAAGGUAUUCUCUGCAAGUACUGAAAUAGUGGUAACAGAUAGUUUUGUGAUAAGAUAAGUUGUAACGAGCAACAAGUAAUAAAAGUAAACAAAGUGCAGCAAGGUGGCCCAAUCCUUUUUGUAGCAAAGGACAAGCCUGGACAAAAUCUUAUAUAAGGAAAAGCGCUCCCGAAGACACAUGGGAAUAUCGUCAAGCUAGUUUUCAUCACGCUCAUAUGAUUCGCGUUCGGUACUUUGAUAAUUUGAUAUGUGGGUGGACCGGUGCUUGGUUGCUGUUCUUACUUGAACAAGCAUCCCACUUAUGAUUAACCUCUAUUGCAAGCAUCCGCAACUACAACAAAAGUAUUAAGGUAAACCUAACCGUAGCAUGAAACAUAUGGAUCCAAAUCAGCCCCUUACGAAGCAAUGCAUAAACUAGGGUUUAAGCUUCUGUCACUCUAGCAACCCAUCAUCUACUUAUUACUUCCCAAUUCCUUCCUCUAGGCCCAAAUAAUGGUGAAGUGUUAUGUAGUCGAUGUUCACAUAACACCACUAGAGGCUAGACAACAUACAUCUCAUCAAAAUAUCGAACAAAUACCAAAUUCACAUGACUACUAAUAGCAAGACUUCUCCCUUGUCCUCAGGAACAAACGUAACUACUCACAAAGCAUAAACAUGAACAUAAUCAGAGGGGUAUUAAUAUGCAUAAAGGAUCUGAACAUAUGAUCUUCCACUAAUUAAACCAACUAGCAUCAACUACAAGGAGUAAUUAAGCAACCUACUAGCACCAAUCGCGGACUUGGAGACAAGAAUUGGAUACAAGAGACGAACUAGGGUUUUGAGAUGAGGUGGUGCUGAUGAAGAUGUUGAUGGAGAUUUCCCUCUCCCGAUGAGAGGAGAGUUGGUGAUGACGAUGGCCAUGAUUUCCCCCUCCGGGAGGGAAGUUUCCCCGGCAGAAUAGCUCUGCCGGACCUCUAGAUUGGACCCGCCAAGGUUCCGCCUCGUGGCGACGGAGUUUCGUCCCGAAAGGUUGCUUAUUAUUUUUUUCUCGACGAAAGACUUCAUAUAGGAGAAGAUGGUCACCAGGGGGCCCACGAGGUAGGGGGCGCGCCCCCCACCCUCGUGAGAAGGGUGUGGGCCCCCUGGUCUUCAUCUUUGGUGAGGAUUUUUCAUUAUUUAUUAUAAGGUAUUCCAUGGAGUUUUAGGACUUUUGGAGUUGUGUAGAAUAGGUCUCUAAUAUUUGCUCCUUUUCCAGCCCAGAAUUCCAGCUGCCAGCAUUCUCCCUCCUUAUGUAAACCUUUUAAAAUAAGAGAGAAUAGCCAUAAGUAUAGUGACAUAAUGUGAAAUAACAGCCCAUAAUGCAAUAAAUAUCGAUAUAAAAGCAUGAUGCAAAAUGGACGUAUCAACUCCCCCAAGCUUAGACCUCGCUUGUCCUCAAGCGAAAGCCGAUAACAAUAAAUAUGUCCCCAUGUUUAGAGGUAGAGGCCUCAAUAAAAAUAAAAGACGGACAUGAGGGCAUCAUGAUUAUUCUCAUAACAGCAACAUACAUAGAUAUUGUCAUAUGAUUACUUAUGUUCGAGUGAUGAUAUAUUCACAAUGCAAAAGUAUGAAUCAGAAACCUAAUUGAGAACCAACAAACUAUAACCUCAGUCAUUGAAGCAAUUGCAAUUUAUCAUAACAUCAGAAAGAGUCUAUGUCAGAGCUAAAAGGCAAGUCCACAUACUCAACAAUCAUCUAGUCCUUCAUAAUUGCUAACACUCACGCAAUACUUGUGAUUACGGAGUUUUAAUCGGACACAGAGAAAGAUAGGGGCUUAUAGUUUCGCCCCACAACCUUUUUACCUCGAGGGUAAUGUCAACAAUAAUAACUCAUGCCCCCCUACAUCCAAUUAGAUAUAUCUACCAGGAUCUUUUCCAACACACUGUGCUUGCCAAAGGAUAAAAUGUAAAAAGGAAAGGUGAAGAUCACCAUGACUCUUGCAUAAGGUAGAAGAUAAUAAUAAAAGAUAUGCCCUUCGCAGAGGGAAGCAGAGGUUGCCAUGCGCUUUUAUGGUUGGAUGCACAAAAUCUUAAUGCGAAAGAACGUCACUUUAUAUUGCCCCUUGUGAUAUGAACCUUUAUUAUGCAGUCUGUCGCUUUUAUUACUUCCACAUCACAAGAUCGUAUAAAGCUUAUUUCUCCCACACCAAUCAAUCAUACAUAUUUAGAGAACAAUUUUUAUGGCUUUGCACCGAUGACAACUUACUUGAAGGUUCUUAUUCAAUCCAUAGGUAGAUAUGAUGGACUCUCAUGGCAAAACUGGUUUAAGGGUAUUUGGAAGCACAAGUAGUAUCUCUACUUGGUGCUGAGAAUUUGGCUAGCAUGAGGGGGAAAGGCAAGCUCAACAUGUUGGAUGAUCCAUGACAACAUACUUUAUCUCAGAUAUAAGAAAACAUGACCCAUUACGUUGUCUUCCUUGUCAAACAUCAACUCUUUAGCAUGUCAUAUUUUGAUGAGUGUUCCCAAUCAUAAAAGAUGUCAAUGAUAGUAUAUUUGUAUGUGAAACCUCUCUUUCCUUAUUACUUCCUAUUAAUUGCAACGAUGACCAAAGCUAUGUUUGCCAACUCCCAACAACUUUUAAUCAUCACACUCUUCUUAUUCUUAUUCUCUUUUCUUUUCUUUUAUUUGGGAUCAUGGCAAAAAUAAACAAGCCCUUGACUCAACACUAAUCUUUAUUAUAUAGCUCACGGACUCAAUUGCAUAGAAGGAUCAAAAAGCAAAACUCAUGACUAGAUCAUACUAAGAACUUUUAUUCUACUAGAUCAAAAUAUUACCAAAAGGAUCGAACUAAGAAAACGGUGAAGAUAAAAGUGAUGGUGAUACGAUACCGGGGCACUCCCCCAAGCUUGGCAGUUGCCAAGUGGAGUGCCCAUACCCAGGUGAUUAUGUCUCCUUUGUUGGUGAAGAAGGUGGAGUUGUUGAUGACGGAUAGUCGCACAUCGAGCGUAGGAGGUCUUCUAACUUGCGAAUAAUGCCCUUGAGUGCGAUGAUAUGCUCCUUCAACAAAAUAUUUUCACAUGUGAGAUACUUAUUUUGUAUACGAGCCAACUCAAUCAUCUUGAAAGCUUCGAUUUCUGUAGGGGUAAGAAGAUUAUGAUCCAGUUGAAGGGUGUCUUCUAUUGCUAGAACUUGGUCCUCCAUGGCCUUCUUGAUCCCUUCAUCCUUGUUGAUCGCCAUAGGUUUUUCUCUCUUCAGCUCUAUCUUCAUUAGGCAAGCAUAGUUGCCCUCAUGGUUGGAGGAGGAGGGAGAUGACAUAGUGCCUGGCCUUGACAACCCUAACAGAAAAUAGCUCGAAACAAAGACAACAGAUUUUUGCAUGAUACGAGAGUCAAAACCCCCGGGAGAUUAUAUAGUGAAUUUUUACCGACCAAAAUACGUAUCGCGCAAGAAAACGGAGUCCGGAAGGCACACGAGGAGCUCACGAGGUAGGGGGUUUGCCCAGGGGGAUAGGGCGCGCCCUGCACCCUCGUUGGGCCCUCGUGUCCUUCCCGGACUGCUACUUAAUUUUCUAUUUUUCUAAAUAUUCCAAAACAGAGAAAUAUUGACUUAAAAAUUGUUUUGGAGUCGGUUUACUUACCGUACCACAUACCUAUUCCUUUUUGGAGUCUGAAACGUUCUGGAAAGUGUCCCUUAUGUAUUCCUUCGGGGUUACGGUUUCAAUAAUAUUGGUUUCAACAUUUAUGGGAUUACCUGAGAUAUAAUGUUUAAUUCUCUGACCGUUUACCACCUUCGGAUUUAUGCCUUCGAAGUUGUUGAUCUUUAUGGCACCGGAACGAUAGACCUCCUCGAUAACGUAGGGACCUUCCCAUUUAGAGAGAAGUUUUCCUGCAGAAAAUCUUAAACGAGAGAUGUAUAGCAAUACAUAAUCACCUACAUUAAACUCACACUUUUGUAUCCUUUUGUCAUGCCAUCUUUUAACCUUUUCUUUAAACAACUUGGCAUUUUCAUAAGCUAGGGUUCUCCAUUCAUCGAGAGAGCUAAUAUAAAAUAACCUCUUUUCACCGGCAAGUUUGAAAUCGUAGUUGAGCUCUUUAAUAGCCCAAUAUACCUUAUGUUCUAGUCCGAGAGGUAAGUGACAUGCUUUUCCAUAUACCAUUUUAUACGGAGACAUACCCAUAGGAUUUUUAUAAGCAGUUCUAUAGGCCCAUAAUGCAUCAUCAAGUUUCUUGGACCAAUUCUUUCUAGAUCUAUUGACAGUCUUUUGCAAAAUUAAUUUGAGUUCUCUAUUACUCAACUCUACUUGACCACUAGACUGUGGGUGAUACGGAGAUGCAAUUCUAUGAUUGACAUCAUAUUUAGCAAGCAUUUUACGGAAAGCACCAUGAAUAAAAUGUGAACCACCAUCAGUCAUUAAAUAUCUAGGGACUCCAAACCUCGGAAAAGUAACUUCCUUAAGCAUUUAAUAGAAGUGUUAUGAUCAGCACUGCUAGUUGGAAUAGCUUCUACCCACUUAGUAACGUAAUCAACAGCAACUAAAAUAUGUGUAUAUCCAUUAGAGGCAGGAAAAGGUCCCAUAUAAUCAAAGCCCCAAACAUCAAAUGGUUCAAUAACAAGUGAAUAAUUCAUAGGCAUUUCUUGACGUCUACUAAUAUUACCAAUUAUUUGACAUUCAUCGCAAGAUAGGACAAACUUACGGGCAUCUUUGAAGAGAGUAGGCCAAUAAAAACCGGAUUGCAAUACCUUAUGUGCAGUUCUAUCUCCCACGUGGUGUCCUCCAUAAGUUUCGGCGUUCCACUUGCGUAGGAUCUGUUCAUGUUCAUGCUCAGGUACACAACAUAUAAUAACAUCAUCUACUCCUUCUUUAUAAAGAUGUGGGUCAUCCCAAAAGUAAUGUCUCAAAUCAUAGAAGAACUUUUUCUUUUGCUGGUAUGUGAAGCUGGGUGGUAUAAAUUUAGCAACUAUGUAAUUAGCAUAAUCAGCAUACCAAGGGGUACUACGAGAAGUACUUAUGACAUUUAAUUGUUCAUCAGGAAAGCUAUCACCAAUAGUUAGUGGGUCAUCAAGAACAUUCUCUAACCUAGAUAAGUUGUCUGCAAUGGGGUUCUCAGAUCCUUUUCUAUCAACAAUAUGCAAAUCAAAUUCUUGUAGCAAGAGCCCCCAUCUAAUAAGUCUAGGUUUAGCAUCUUUCUUUUCCAUAAUAUAUUUAAUAGCAACAUGAUCAGUGUGGAUAGUUACUUUAGAAUCAACAAUAUAAGGUCUGAACUUAUCACAAGCAAAUACAACUGCUAAAAGUUCUUUUUCAGUAGUAGCAUAAUUUCUUUGAGCAUUGUCUAGAGUCUUACUAGCAUAAUGGAUAACAUUUCAUUUCUUAUCAACUCUUUGCCCUAGAACAGCACCUACAACAUAAUCGCUAGCAUCGCACAUAAUUUCAAAGGGUAAGUUCCAAUCAGGUGGCUGAACAAUAGGUGCAGAGACUAAUGCUUUCUUAAGUAUUUCAAAUGCUUCUACACAAUCAUCAUCAAAGACAAAUGGUAUAUCUUUUUGUAAUAAAUUAGUCAGAGGCCGAGAAAUUUUUGAGAUGUCCAUAAUGAACCUCCUAUAGAAUCCGGCGUGACCAAGGAAACUUCUUAUACCUUUGAUGUCCUUGGGACAUGGCAUCUUUUCAAUAGCAUCAACCUUGGCUUUAUCAACUUCAAUACCUCUUUCAGAAACUUUAUGCCCCAAGACAAUACCUUCAUUAACCAUAAAGUGGAACUUUUCCCAAUUCAAGACAAGACUACUUUCUUCACAUCUCUGCAAAAAUCGAUCAAGAUUGCUCAAGCAAUCAUCAAAAGAAGAUCCAUAGACGGAAAAGUCAUCCAUGAAAACCUCACAAAUCUUUUCACCAAAGUCAGAGAAUAUAGCCAUCAUGCAUCUUUGAAAGGUAGCAGGUGCAUUACAUAAACCAAAAGGCAUACGUUUAUAAGCAAAAGUACCAAAAGGGCAUGUAAAAGUAGUCUUUGAUUGAUCUUUAGCCGACACAGGUAUUUGAGAGAAACCAGAAUAACCAUUUAGAAAGCAGUAAUGUAUAUGUUUGCAUAAUCUUUCUAGCAUUUGAUCGAUAAAAGGUAAGGGGUAAUGAUCUUUCUUAGUAGCCUUAUUUAAUUUGCGGAAAUCAAUUACCAUCCUAUAACCUGUAAUAAUUCUUUGUAGAAUCAAUUCAUCUUUAUCAUUAGGAACAACAGUAAUACCUCCCUUCUUAGGGACACAAUGAAUAGGACUUACCCACUGACUAUCAGCAACGGGAUAAAUUAUACCUGCCUCUAGAAGCUUUAGUAUUUCUUUUAUUACCACUUCUUUCAUUUUAGGAUCCAGACGUCAUUGAGGAUCAUGAACUGGUUUGGCAUCUGCUUCCAAAUUUAUUUUAUGUUGACAUAGAGUGGGACUAAUGCCCUUAAGAUCAUCAAGAGUAUAUCCAAUAGCAGCACGGUGCUUCUUCAGAGUUUUCAAUAAUUGUUUUUCUUCAUGCUCUGAAAGGUUAGCACUAAUAAUAACAGGAUAUAUCUUCUUUUCAUCAAGAUAAGCAUAUUUAAGAUUAUCAGGCAAUGGUUUAAGCUCAAACACGGGAUCACCCUUAGGUGGAGGAGGGUCCCCUAGGAUUUCAACAUGCAAAUUAUGUUCCAGCAUAUGUUCUUGUUUAAAGAAUACUUCAUCUAUUUCCCUUCUUUCAUUCAUAAACAUAUCAUUCUCAUGGUCUAGCAAAUAUUGUUCUAAAGGAUCACUAGGAGGUACGGCAAUAGAAGCAAGACCAAUAAUUUCAUCCUUACUAGAUAAUUCUUGUUCACGGUGUUGUUUAGUAAAUUUAGAGAAAUUAAA